AAAUCUUCACCAUUAUAACUACCACCUAACAAUAAUAAGUUCAGUAAAAAGUAAUCCAACUAUGAGACGUGACAGAGAAAGUCAUGAUGAUACCUCUCAACAAUGGAAUUCUCCUCAUCAAUGGACCUUGAGACUGAUCUGAUCUACUGUAGAUAGUGUUCACAAGGUAGGCUAAAAAAGGCACUGAUAAAUCCUAUUCUAACAAAAUCAGUCUGAAAUCCUUCUCUUCAGUGAGAAAUUGGAGAGAAAAACGUGACAAAGAGACUAUUUAGCUUUAUUUCAUCAUAUUGCCAACAACCCCAAAGUAUCCAAUUCUCUUCAAGAAUUCAUUAUCGGAGAGACGACUUGAACUAUCAGUGACUUUAAAUCUUCAAUUCUUCAGCUCAGUUCUUCUAUGACUUCAACUCUUUAGGGAGUUGUUCUCCCAAAUCACAGAAGAUAAUCCAUUCUCAACUCUCUUCACUUCUCUUACCAGUUGUUCAUUAUCUCAUUCAUUGUUCAUUCAUUGUUUAGUGAAA
Molecule: unclassified non-coding RNA, 518 nt
Filed under: Hevea brasiliensis (rubber tree)
Lineage: Eukaryota; Viridiplantae; Streptophyta; Magnoliopsida; Malpighiales; Euphorbiaceae
Source: RNAcentral